GUUUUUUAUAGUUCAGAUGUUUUAUGUAUUCAUUUUGGGGAUAGUAAAAAUUAAAAACAUAGGGCAAAUAUUCUAGUUUUUAAGUCAAAAUUAUGCUUUUAAAGCACUGCAUCUUAUUAAAUACUUUCAGGAUAUAUUUUAAGUAAACUGCAAGAAAGAAAAAUUUGACAGAAGAUGGGAUUUUACCUGAGUAGGACAUAAAUGUGAAGACACUGUGGCAUGGAGCUUGAGUGCUAAUUGAUGUUUGGUAUCUGAAUCCCUGUUGAAGAACAUAAGUUAGUUUUAUUGAGUAAAUUACUGAAGCUCAUCUCCCAUCUAUAAAAGAGGAGGAUAUAUGAUCAUAUUUAACUCAGGUUUGUUAAGAGGUCAAAUGUCAAUCCAUGUAUGAUUCUUAACAAUUACCUGACACGUUUUGGUUGCUUAGUAAGUGUGAGCCUUUACUAUCAUUGUAGGUAAAAUCCCAUUACAAAAACACAAAAAUGUUUUUUGUAACAAAAAUUCUUCCUGUGCCCUCUUGGAUGACCUAAGGGAAUAGUGUUCUAUAGGUGACACUAAAUUUUCAAUGUAACCUCAGAUGUUUGUUCCCAGAAAGAGACCAUCUUUCCAUAAUUAAAGAACCUGAUGGUAUACACUAUGGAGAAAUGAAUUAAGAUACCUAGUUUGAACUUUUGUUUUCCUUUCAUUAAUCACAAUCAUCUAUACCUGCCUUCAUUUCACUCUACCUCAGCUAUAUUUCCACACCAGGAAAACAUGCAGAUUCCUUAAACACUUGUACCUAAUGUUAAAAUAUGCAAAAAGAUUU
Molecule: long non-coding RNA, 802 nt
Filed under: Marmota monax (woodchuck)
Lineage: Eukaryota; Metazoa; Chordata; Mammalia; Rodentia; Sciuridae
Source: RNAcentral